CCGGGCACAUGCGGACGCCCGAUUAGACGGCACCCGUCCAAGUCCGC
RNAcentral lists this non-coding RNA (47 nucleotides) under unclassified sequences. RNAcentral's name for it is "chromate-resist RNA". It matches the Rfam family "chrB-b RNA". The record is from RNAcentral.